Molecule: ribosomal RNA, 497 nt
Filed under: uncultured bacterium
Lineage: Bacteria
Description: partial 16S ribosomal RNA
Rfam family: Bacterial small subunit ribosomal RNA
Source: RNAcentral
GAUGAACGCUGGCGGCGUGCCUAAUACAUGCAAGUCGAGCGAACGGACGAGAAGCUUGCUUCUCUGAUGUUAGCGGCGGACGGGUGAGUAACACGUGGAUAACCUACCUAUAAGACUGGGAUAACUUCGGGAAACCGGAGCUAAUACCGGAUAAUAUUUUGAACCGCAUGGUUCAAAAGUGAAAGACGGUCUUGCUGUCACUUAUAGAUGGAUCCGCGCUGCAUUAGCUAGUUGGUAAGGUAGCGGCUUACCAAGGCAACGAUGCAUAGCCGACCUGAGAGGGUGAUCGGCCACACUGGGACUGAGACACGGUCCAGACUCCUACGGGAGGCAGCAGUAGGGAAUCUUCCGCAAUGGGCGAAAGCCUGACGGAGCAACGCCGCGUGAGUGAUGAAGGUCUUCGGAUCGUAAAACUCUGUUAUUAGGGAAGAACAUAUGUGUAAGUAACUGUGCACAUCUUGACGGUACCUAAUCAGAAAGCCACGGCUAACUACGUG